Molecule: regulatory RNA element, 112 nt
Organism: Bordetella hinzii
Lineage: Bacteria; Pseudomonadati; Pseudomonadota; Betaproteobacteria; Burkholderiales; Alcaligenaceae
Rfam family: Glycine riboswitch aptamer
About the family: This family represents the bacterial glycine riboswitch. Glycine riboswitches usually consist of two metabolite-binding aptamers domains with similar structures in tandem.
Source: Rfam
UAACAGCACUCUGGAGAGACCUGGCGCCGCCUUGCGGCCAGCCCAGGCGCCGAAGGUGCAAACCCGCCAUGCGUGCGGGGCAACUCUCAGGCAAAAGGACAGAGGGGCGGAA